GGUAACCCUGUUCAUUGGUGGUUCUCCGUGGGGUCUAGCCAAUUGGAUUCAGCAAUCUGGGGGGGUGUAUCCAUGCCAGCUGACUCAUAUUUUCCUAACGAGUCUGUACCGGAAGUGACGUACUGCAGUGUGCAACGUCACUUACGAAGUUGUAUUCCCCAUCUUAUCUUCAGGCGGGUACUGUAUUAGUUGGCAGGAACUGACGUUACACAACUAAAUGUGUAC
This is a non-coding RNA of Pelobates cultripes (western spadefoot toad), 225 nucleotides long. NCBI's taxonomy places the organism in Eukaryota, Metazoa, Chordata, Amphibia, Anura, Pelobatidae. The record is from the annotation of a GenBank genome assembly.